RNAcentral lists this ribosomal RNA (1440 nucleotides) under uncultured organism. Its description in RNAcentral is "partial small subunit ribosomal RNA". It matches the Rfam family "Bacterial small subunit ribosomal RNA". The record is from RNAcentral.
CGAACGCUGGCGGCGUGCUUAACACAUGCAAGUCGAACGGAAAGGCCCUGCUUUUGUGGGGUGCUCGAGUGGCGAACGGGUGAGUAGCACGUGAGUAACCUGCCUUGACUUUGGGAUAACUUCAGGAAACUGGGGCUAAUACCGGAUAGGAGCUCCUGCUGCAUGGUGGGGGUUGGAAAGUUUCGGCGGUUGGGGAUGGACUCGCGGCUUAUCAGCUUGUUGGUGGGGUAGUGGCUUACCAAGGCUUUGACGGGUAGCCGGCCUGAGAGGGUGACCGGCCACAUUGGGACUGAGAUACGGCCCAGACUCCUACGGGAGGCAGCAGUGGGGAAUAUUGCACAAUGGGCGGAAGCCUGAUGCAGCAACGCCGCGUGCGGGAUGACGGCCUUCGGGUUGUAAACCGCUUUCGCCUGUGACGAAGCGUGAGUGACGGUAAUGGGUAAAGAAGCACCGGCUAACUACGUGCCAGCAGCCGCGGUGAUACGUAGGGUGCGAGCGUUGUCCGGAUUUAUUGGGCGUAAAGGGCUCGUAGGUGGUUGAUCGCGUCGGAAGUGUAAUCUUGGGGCUUAACCCUGAGCGUGCUUUCGAUACGGGUUGACUUGAGGAAGGUAGGGGAGAAUGGAAUUCCUGGUGGAGCGGUGGAAUGCGCAGAUAUCAGGAGGAACGCCAGUGGCGAAGGCGGUUCUCUGGGCCUUUCCUGACGCUGAGGAGCGAAAGCGUGGGGAGCGAACAGGCUUAGAUACCCUGGUAGUCCACGCUGUAAACGGUGGGUACUAGGUGUGGGGUCCAUUCCACGGGUUCCGUGCCGUAGCUAACGCUUUAAGUACCCCGCCUGGGGAGUACGGCCGCAAGGCUAAAACUCAAAGGAAUUGACGGGGCCCCGCACAAGCGGCGGAGCAUGCGGAUUAAUUCGAUGCAACGCGUAGAACCUUACCUGGGUUUGACAUGGAUCGGGAGUGCUCAGAGAUGGGUGUGCCUCUUUUGGGGUCGGUUCACAGGUGGUGCAUGGCUGUCGUCAGCUCGUGUCGUGAGAUGUUGGGUUAAGUCCCGCAACGAGCGCAACCCUUGUUCACUGUUGCCAGCACGUUAUGGUGGGGACUCAGUGGAGACCGCCGGGGUCAACUCGGAGGAAGGUGGGGAUGACGUCAAGUCAUCAUGCCCCUUAUGUCCAGGGCUUCACGCAUGCUACAAUGGCUGGUACAGAGAGUGGCGAGCCUGUGAGGGUGAGCGAAUCUCGGAAAGCCGGUCUCAGUUCGGAUUGGGGUCUGCAACUCGACCUCAUGAAGUCGGAGUCGCUAGUAAUCGCAGAUCAGCAACGCUGCGGUGAAUACGUUCCCGGGGCUUGUACACACCGCCCGUCAAGUCAUGAAAGUUGGUAACACCCGAAGCCGGUGGCCUAACCGUUGUGGGGGAGCCGUCGAAGGUGGGACUGGUGAUUAG